This 1504-nucleotide long non-coding RNA is filed under the name Mus musculus (house mouse). RNAcentral describes it as "long non-coding RNA chr19:22776820-22778324". Lineage: Eukaryota; Metazoa; Chordata; Mammalia; Rodentia; Muridae. The record is from RNAcentral.
GCACUUCCUCUAAGAUCUCCCUUACUGAGUAGAUAGAACCCUUAGGAAUAGCCCAGAUGAACAUUUUCUUCUGCAUUAAACCAAGAUAAGAAUUGCUAUUUGUCUAAUUCAUGGAGGCCACUUUGUAGCUAGAUUCGCUUUUCAGUGACAAAACAAUCUAGCCGAUCCAUAUGUGUGUUCCAUUUAAUCUCUAUCAGCUUUUUAUCUAACCAUCGUUUUCUGAAAAACAGCAACAGAGUUGCUCUUAGGGAUUCUAAUUGUUGAAUAUUUAUUUGUCUUUCAAUUAAUUAAAAGAAACUUUGAGCAUCUGAUAAAAAUGAGAAAUUGCACUGGGAACAUACAGUGUAUUCCUAGAGUCACGGUGCUGAAUCUUCUUGUGUAUAGACUAAAGAGCAUCCUCAUGUUUAUAGCAGAAGAUAGCACUUGCAUCCAGCCAUUUAAACAAACCACAAGCUUUUCAUCAAAAUACUGAACUGAGUUUCUACAUAGAGGUUAUAUCGGAUUCUUCUCUUCUCACGCUCUUGUCUUCCUAGCCUGAAUGGCUCUCACAAGCUAUGUACUCUUUUAAGGAAGUCAGGGUUUUUUUUUCCAUGCAUAAAAUGAUAAAAGUCAUUUUGAUUCCUUUAUCCCACAUUCAAAUCUCUCCAGCAGAAUCUUCCAUGUAGAGCCCUUCCUGGAAAAUAGAGACUUCAGAAGUAUCACAAAAGAAAAGCAGGAGAGGUAUAGUUAUUGGGUUUUGAUCCUCGCCUGUUUGCUUAUGAAAUGACAUAAGACUAAUUCAAGGAUCUUCUCAGGUCAUACUGGUGAAUAUGAUCCUGGGAAACCAUUUACAGCCUGGCUACGUGGUUUUCACUGGGGCUUUGCCUUCUCAUUCAAAGACUUGUUCCAUCUGACAUUUAUAGAAAUAUUAUACUUUCUCUUCACCAUAGAGUGGUUUGUGUGCUAGGUGCCUUAUUUCAGCUCUGAACUAUGUUUCACUGGGCCUCCCUGAAGGUGUGAAAGAUGCUGAGAUACUUAAAAAAAAAACCCACUUACUCAGCAUCUAUGUGUCAGGGGGACAGUUCUUGGUAUUUUUCACACAUGAUCUUCUGAGCUACAAACAUCAACCUUAAAGACAUACUAGCUCUGUAAACAAAUGAGGAGAUAAAGACAUGAAGAGCUGAAUGAUCUGUCUCAGAGUCCUCAAUAGGAAAAGAAAGAAAUGGAUUCCAAUGAGAGGCAACAUAUCAAAGGGUUUUAACUGCAUCACUCCAUCUUCUACAGAUUAUCUAUUAUCUAAAUAGUAUAUGUAUACAGGUGUGUGUGUGUUGACAUUCAUGUGAUAAAAUCACUUCCAGGUACCAAAUCCAUCAAGCUCUGUGUGAGGGGAAUCACCUUGAUAUCAUUGAGAUGCUGACUACCUUGGGAACAUUUUUAUGAUAACUGUCCUAAACAAUAUGAGAAUAAAAAUCUGUUCCCAAUUUUUAAAAAGCUGUGAAAAAGUCAAAUGUAGAAUUAAAAAAUG